This 459-nucleotide ribosomal RNA is filed under the name uncultured bacterium. Its description in RNAcentral is "partial 16S ribosomal RNA". It matches the Rfam family "Bacterial small subunit ribosomal RNA", at positions 338 to 795 of the family's 1533-position model. The record is from RNAcentral.
CCUACGGGAGGCUGCAGUGAGGAAUAUUGGUCAAUGGUCGGGAGCCUGAACCAGCCAAGUCGCGUGCGGGACGACGGUCCUAUGGAUUGUAAACUUCUUUUGUCCGGGAAUAAAAGCGCCCACGGGUGGUCGGAUGAGUGUACCCGAUGAAUAAGCAUCGGCUAACUCCGUGCCAGCAGCCGCGGUAAUACGGAGGAUGCGAGCGUUAUCCGGAUUUAUUGGGUUUAAAGGGUGCGUAGGCGGACAGUUAAGUCAGCGGUAAAAUUGCGGUGCUCAACGCCGUACAGGCGUUGAAACUGGCAGUCUUGAGUGGGCGUGAGGUAUGCGGAAUGCGUGGUGUAGCGGUGAAAUGCAUAGAUAUCACGCAGAACUCCGAUUGCGAAGGAAGCAUACCGGCGCCCGACUGACGCUGAGGCACGAAAGCGUGGGUAUCGAACAGGAGUAGAUACCCGGGUAGUC